GAUGAACGCUGGCGGCGUGCCUAAUACAUGCAAGUCGAACGCGCAGCGAGAGGUGCUUGCACCUUUCAAGCGAGUGGCGAACGGGGUGAGUAACACGUGGAUAACCUGCCUCAAGGCUGGGGAUAACAUUUGGAAACAGAUGCUAAUACCGAAUAAAACUUAGUAUCGCAUGAUAUCAAGUUAAAAGGCGCUACGGCGUCACCUAGAGAUGGAUCCGCGGUGCAUUAGUUAGUUGGUGGGGUAAAGGCUUACCAAGACGAUGAUGCAUAGCCGAGUUGAGAGACUGAUCGGCCACAUUGGGACUGAGACACGGCCCAAACUCCUACGGGAGGCUGCAGUAGGGAAUCUUCCACAAUGGGCGCAAGCCUGAUGGAGCAACG
Molecule: ribosomal RNA, 380 nt
Filed under: uncultured bacterium
Lineage: Bacteria
Description: bacterial SSU rRNA
Rfam family: Bacterial small subunit ribosomal RNA
Source: RNAcentral